RNAcentral lists this long non-coding RNA (2118 nucleotides) under Nicotiana benthamiana. RNAcentral describes it as "long non-coding RNA (NBEN_LNC016778)". The record is from RNAcentral. Lineage: Eukaryota; Viridiplantae; Streptophyta; Magnoliopsida; Solanales; Solanaceae.
UGAAUUAUUUUGUUAAAGUAAAACUACUACGUCAAAUUAUUUCCUCCUGUCCUGUUAAGUUAUUAGUAACAUCGUGACUUUAAAUAAAGGAAUUAGUACUACGAUAUUAUAUAUGAUUUUUAAAUUUGAACUCGCCGUGUAUAAUUUAAAGUUUGGAAAAUGGAGAGGGUUAUCUCAUAGUUGUCUUUUAUGUUAUCAAGGUCCGAAUGCGAUUUAGUAAGCUGGAAUAGCUCCGUUAUGUCAUUCUGGACUUGCUUGCAAAAUUUGGUGUCAUUUGGAGUUGAUUUGAUAUGGUUCGGAUGCUUUGUUGGAAUUCCAAAAGUUCUUGAAGUUCAUAGUGAUGUUUCAUGCAUUUUGGCAUCUGAUUCGUGGUUCUAGAGGUUGUUUUGGUGUUCCGAUCGCGCAAGCGUGUUCGUGUUAUGUGUUCAGGCCUGUGGGGUGUUUGGUUUGGAGCCUUAGGGGCUCUGGUGAGUUUCGGAUUAACUUCAGAUUGUUUUGGUUAAACUUAUGUGUACUAGUUUUGGUGUUCUCACAUUUGCGAGAUUUUGGUCACAAUUAGUCAUCGCAAUUGCGAACCAGGGCUGCUAGGAACUGAGUCACAUUUGCGAAGAAAUUACCGCAUUUGCGAAGCCUUUAGAGUUCGCAUUGGCGAACUCCUUAUCGCAUUUGCGAUGAAGGAAAAACUAGUCCAGGCUUGCAUUUGUGAAGUUUUCUUCGCUUUUGCGAGUUUGCAUUUGCGAACCCAGUGUAGCAAAUGUGACAUCUGCAUCCUGCUAAAAGUUGGGUAUUCCGAGUUAUCAUUUUAUUUUUCGUAUUUUUUAACCCUGGAGUCGAGGUGAGGUGAUUUUAUGAAGAGAUUUUCAUAUCAAGUCAUUGAGUAAGUAUCCUUUAUUAAUUCCCAUCUAUAUUUUGUGAUUAUAUCUUAGAUUUAACAUCAAAUUCAUAAGAAUCUAAAAGAAAAUUUGGGAAAAAUUGUGAAAUCUUUCAAAAAUGUAAAUUGAUGAUUUGAAGGGCCGAAUGGUAUCAGGAUUUGAUAAAUUUUGUGUGGGUGAACUCAUAUAAGAAUGGGUAUUCAGUUUUUGUAAAUUUUUCGGGUUCCGAGGUACGGGCCUGGGGAGUUGACUUUUUUUGACAUUUUACAAAUUGUGUAAGAAUCAUGGCUUUGUUAAUUGAAAUUGCUUUCUCUUGCAUUGUUUGAUGUAUUCAAGUCGUUUUUGGCUGGAUUGAGCCGAGCGUUGAUGAAUUGGUAAAGGAAUAGCUAAAUUUUGUAUUGAAUUGGCGGGAUUGAGGUAAACAUUUUUUCUAAACUUGUGUGAGGGACUCCCCCUUAGGAUUUAAGUCUUCCAUGCUAAUUGUAGUCUGUGCACAUGAAGUAAUGAGUGUGUGCUCAGACUUAUUUGUGGAGAAUUUGCUUUUAGGGUUCUUAUGUCCUUGUGUUCAUUAAGUGCGAAGUCUUUCGAUAUGAUUGGGUCUCUAAUUGUUUGUUCUACCUCUAUAUGGUCCAUACGAUGUUAUUAGUAUACCUCCAAUCCUUACUUGUUACUUGGCCCUUAAUUUUCUUAAUUGAUGUGAUUUCCUAGUUAUAACUUUGUUAUUUUUUAUUGUGAAUUCCUCUAUGACCUCGUGCUUACAUUCGAUGUGUCCUAGUUAUUGUGGAAAGCUGGUGUAGUAUUCACGUGCCUUAUAUGUCUCGUUGUUUUGUAAAGGUUGUUGUGCUUCUUGGUUUCUUUGUGGUUCUCUUAUUGCCUUGUACUCAUACUCUUGGUGGUAGAAUUCCUUGUGAUUUGGUUGUUGAAUUGUUGUUGUUGUUGUUGUUGUUGUCGUUGAUUUUACACUAUGUCUGGUUGUUGAUAUGUUGGAGAGGAAUAAGGAGGAAUUGAUAUUGUCUUGUGGGAUCGGGUUACACGCUGCAACAAGGAGUAAUAAGGGUGGGAAAGAUUGCAUGCCACAAUAGGAGGAAUAAGAGCGAUAUAUAUUGAGGCGUAAUAAGGGUGGGCUGGUGGGAUCGGGUUGCACGCCGCAACAAAGAGUAAUAAGGGUGAAUGGUCAUGUUAUUAUUGAUAUGGUGAUAUAUAUGUUAUUCACUUUUAUUGUAAUUGUUUUGGAGCAAUAACGGAG